AUCAAGAUGAAGAGUCCCAAACAGGACGAAAUGCGCACUGUUCUAGAU
Molecule: non-coding RNA, 48 nt
Filed under: Trichobilharzia regenti
Lineage: Eukaryota; Metazoa; Platyhelminthes; Trematoda; Strigeidida; Schistosomatidae
Source: RNAcentral